RNAcentral lists this ribosomal RNA (490 nucleotides) under uncultured bacterium. RNAcentral's name for it is "partial 16S ribosomal RNA". It matches the Rfam family "Bacterial small subunit ribosomal RNA", at positions 30 to 507 of the family's 1533-position model. The record is from RNAcentral.
AUUGAACGCUGGCGGCAGGCCUAACACAUGCAAGUCGAAUGGUAACAGGAAACAGCUUGCUGUUUCGCUGACGAGUGGCGGACGGGUGAGUAAUGUCUGGGAAACUGCCUGAUGGAGGGGGAUAACUACUGGAAACGGUAGCUAAUACCGCAUAACGUCGCAAGACCAAAGAGGGGGACCUUCGGGCCUCUUGCCAUCAGAUGUGCCCAGAUGGGAUUAGCUAGUAGGUGGGGUAACGGCUCACCUAGGCGACGAUCCCUAGCUGGUCUGCGAGGAUGACCAGCCACACUGGAACUGAGACACGGUCCAGACUCCUACGGGAGGCAGCAGUGGGGAAUAUUGCACAAUGGGCGCAAGCCUGAUGCAGCCAUGCCGCGUGUAUGAAGAAGGCCUUCGGGUUGUAAAGUACUUUCAGCGGGGAGGAAGGGAGUAAAGUUAAUACCUUUGCUCAUUGACGUUACCCGCAGAAGAAGCACCGGCUAACUCCGUG